This 61-nucleotide transfer RNA is filed under the name Harmonia quadripunctata (cream-streaked ladybird beetle). RNAcentral describes it as "tRNA-Pro". The record is from RNAcentral. Lineage: Eukaryota; Metazoa; Arthropoda; Insecta; Coleoptera; Coccinellidae.
CAGAGGGUAGUUUAAUUAAAAAUAUUAAUUUUGGAGAUUAAAGAUAUUGAUUUUCCUCUGA